RNAcentral lists this ribosomal RNA (255 nucleotides) under uncultured bacterium. Its description in RNAcentral is "partial 16S ribosomal RNA". It matches the Rfam family "Bacterial small subunit ribosomal RNA", at positions 524 to 776 of the family's 1533-position model. The record is from RNAcentral.
GACAGAGGGUGCAAACGUUGUUCGGAAUUACUGGGCGUAAAGCGUGUGUAGGCGGCUACGUAAGUCGGAUGUGAAAGCCCCCAGGCUCAACCUGGGAAGUGCACUCGAUACUGCGUAGCUUGAGUAUCGGAGAGGUUGGUGGAAUUCUCGGUGUAGAGGUGAAAUUCGUAGAUAUCGAGAGGAACACCGGUGGCGAAGGCGGCCAACUGGACGAAUACUGACGCUGAGACACGAAAGCGUGGGGGAGCAAACAGG